UACAUCACUAUCUUGCAUGUAUGCAUUAAACAAAUUACUUAUCUGUGCCCCCAAUAUUAGACAAAUAUAUAUUUUAAAUCCACAACAGAAACAUUAUCAAAUAUGUUAUAACAAAUGCAUAAAUCCACUAGAGUUCACUAUUUUAUAAACUGUAACAUAAGAAGUACUGUAACCAUCAAAACUGAAAAUCAAAGUCAUACAUACUACAAUAACAGAAAACAAACAAGGGUCUAUAUAAAGGAGUACUGAAAAAUGAACCUAAUAUGAGAUCUCCUAUAAGGCUAACAACAUAACUUCUGAAUCCAAAUACAAACCUUCCUCCCUACAUAUCAUCUA
RNAcentral lists this long non-coding RNA (336 nucleotides) under Lathyrus oleraceus (garden pea). Its description in RNAcentral is "Pisum sativum (pea) long non-coding RNA (PSAT_LNC041729)". The record is from RNAcentral. Lineage: Eukaryota; Viridiplantae; Streptophyta; Magnoliopsida; Fabales; Fabaceae.